Molecule: ribosomal RNA, 406 nt
Filed under: uncultured bacterium
Lineage: Bacteria
Description: partial 16S ribosomal RNA
Rfam family: Bacterial small subunit ribosomal RNA
Source: RNAcentral
AUUGAACGCUGGCGGCAGGCCUAACACAUGCAAGUCGAACGAGUGGCGGACGGGUGAGUAAUGUCUGGGAAACUGCCCGAUGGAGGGGGAUAACUCCUGGAAACGGUAGCUAAUACCGCAUACCAUCGGAUGUGCCCAGAGGGGAUUCGCUUGUAGGUGAGGUAACGGCUCACCUAGGCGACGAUCCCUAGCGGGUCUGAGAGGAUGACCAGCCACACUGGAACUGUGACACGGUCCGGACUCCUACGGGGGGACGCAGUGGGGAAUAUUGCACAAUGGUGGCAAGCCUGAUGCAGCCAUGCCGCGGGUAUGAAUAAGGCCUUCGGGUUGUAAAUUCCUUUCAGCGGGGAGGCGUUACCCGCAGAAGAAGCACCGGCUAACUCCGUGCCAGCAGCCGCGGUAAUUC